UGCGAUAACGAACGAGACCUCGGCCUGCUAAAUAGUUGAGCGAAUCCUCCGGGAUUCGUUUCAUAUAACUUCUUAGAGGGACUAUCGGUGAUUUAGCCGAUGGAAGUUCGAGGCAAUAACAGGUCUGUGAUGCCCUUAGAUGUUCUGGGCCGCACGCGCGCUACACUGAUACGUUCAUCGAGCUUACAACCUUGGUUGAGAGGCCUGGGUAAUCUUUUGAAACUUGAUCGUGCUGGGGAUAGUCCAUUGCAAUUAUUGGACUUCAACGAGGAAUUCCUAGUAAGCGUGAGUCAUCAGCUCGCGUUGAUUACGUCCCUGCCCUUUGUACACACCGCCCGUCGCUAAUACCGAUUGAAUGGAUA
This 362-nucleotide ribosomal RNA is filed under the name Eukaryota sp. RNAcentral's name for it is "SSU rRNA". It matches the Rfam family "Eukaryotic small subunit ribosomal RNA", at positions 1324 to 1699 of the family's 1831-position model. The record is from RNAcentral.